This 1209-nucleotide ribosomal RNA is filed under the name metagenome. Its description in RNAcentral is "bacterial SSU rRNA". It matches the Rfam family "Bacterial small subunit ribosomal RNA", at positions 8 to 1209 of the family's 1533-position model. The record is from RNAcentral.
AGAGUUUGAUCCUGGCUCAGGAUGAACGCUAGCUACAGGCUUAACACAUGCAAGUCGAGGGGAAACGACAUCGAAAGCUUGCUUUUGAUGGGCGUCGACCGGCGCACGGGUGAGUAACGCGUAUCCAACCUGCCCACCACUUGGGGAUAACCUUGCGAAAGUAAGACUAAUACCCAAUGAUAUCUCUAGAAGACAUCUGAAAGAGAUUAAAGAUUUAUCGGUGAUGGAUGGGGAUGCGUCUGAUUAGCUUGUUGGCGGGGUAACGGCCCACCAAGGCAACGAUCAGUAGGGGUUCUGAGAGGAAGGUCCCCCACAUUGGAACUGAGACACGGUCCAAACUCCUACUGGAGGCAGCAGUGAGGAAUAUUGGUCAAUGGGCGAGAGCCUGAACCAGCCAAGUAGCGUGCAGGAAGACGGCCCUAUGGGUUGUAAACUGCUUUUAUAAGGGAAUAAAGUGAGUCUCGUGAGACUUUUUGCAUGUACCUUAUGAAUAAGGACCGGCUAAUUCCGUGCCAGCAGCCGCGGUAAUACGGAAGGUCCGGGCGUUAUCCGGAUUUAUUGGGUUUAAAGGGAGCGUAGGCCGGAGAUUAAGCGUGUUGUGAAAUGUAGACGCUCAACGUCUGCACUGCAGCGCGAACUGGUUUCCUUGAGUACGCACAAAGUGGGCGGAAUUCGUGGUGUAGCGGUGAAAUGCUUAGAUAUCACGAAGAACUCCGAUUGCGAAGGCAGCUCACUGGAGCGCAACUGACGCUGAAGCUCGAAAGUGCGGGUAUCGAACAGGAAUAGAUACCCUGGAAGUCCGCACGGUAAACGAUGGAUGCCCGCUGUUGGUCUGAACAGGUCAGCGGCCAAGCGAAAGCAUUAAGCAUCCCACCUGGGGAGUACGCCGGCAACGGUGAAACUCAAAGGAAUUGACGGGGGCCCGCACAAGCGGAGGAACAUGUGGUUUAAUUCGAUGAUACGCGAGGAACCUUACCCGGGCUUGAAUUGCAGAGGAAGGAUUUGGAGACAAUGACGCCCUUCGGGGUCUCUGUGAAGGUGCUGCAUGGUUGUCGUCAGCUCGUGCCGUGAGGUGUCGGCUUAAGUGCCAUAACGAGCGCAACCCCUCUCCUUAGUUGCCAUCAGGUUAAGCUGGGCACUCUGGGGACACUGCCACCGUAGGUGUGAGGAAGGUGGGGAUGACGUCAAAUCAGCACGGCCCUUACGUCC